RNAcentral lists this ribosomal RNA (355 nucleotides) under uncultured Bacteroidota bacterium. RNAcentral's name for it is "bacterial SSU rRNA". It matches the Rfam family "Bacterial small subunit ribosomal RNA", at positions 1040 to 1391 of the family's 1533-position model. The record is from RNAcentral. Lineage: Bacteria; Pseudomonadati; Bacteroidota.
GCUGCAUGGUUGUCGUCAGCUCGUGCCGUGAGGUGUUGGGUUAAGUCCCGCAACGAGCGCAACCCCUAUCUUCAGUUGCUAGCAGGUAAUGCUGAGGACUCCUGGAGAGACUGCCGGCGUAAGCCGCGAGGAAGGUGGGGACGACGUCAAAUCAUCAUGGCCUUUAUGCCUGGGGCGACACACGUGCUACAAUGGCGUAUACAGAGUGGCAGCCAGACCGCGAGGUUGAGCGAAUCCCACAAAGUACGUCCCAGUUCGGAUCGAAGUCUGCAACCCGACUUCGUGAAGGCGGAAUCGCUAGUAAUCGCGCAUCAGCCAUGACGCGGUGAAUACGUUCCCGGACCUUGUACACACC